This 291-nucleotide unclassified non-coding RNA is filed under the name uncultured fungus. Its description in RNAcentral is "sequence contains ITS1, 5.8S rRNA gene". The stretch from base 243 to 291 matches the Rfam family "5.8S ribosomal RNA", at positions 1 to 49 of the family's 154-position model. Lineage: Eukaryota; Fungi. The record is from RNAcentral.
UUUCCGUAGGUGAACCUGCGGAAGGAUCAUUACUGAAAUGUAAUAACUUCUAUUGAAAGGUUCCAGAGUAGGCGCUACAACGCCGAAAUGACCUUCUCACCCUUGUGUACUCACUAUGUUGCUUUGGCGGGACCGCUCGGUUCCGAGCCGCUGGGGAUUCGUCCCAGGCGAGUGCCCGCCAGAGUUAAACCAAACUCUUGUUAUUAAACCGGUCGUCUGAGUUAAAAUUUUGAAUAAAUCAAAACUUUCAACAACGGAUCUCUUGGUUCUCGCAUCGAUGAAGAACGCAGC